Gasterosteus aculeatus aculeatus (three-spined stickleback) is the source of this 438-nucleotide long non-coding RNA. Lineage: Eukaryota; Metazoa; Chordata; Actinopteri; Perciformes; Gasterosteidae. The record is from Ensembl.
AAAGAACAUCAGCGACAUCGGUGGACCUUAAAUCGCACGAUCCGAAAGCUGCCGCUGGUUUGUUGAUAUGAAAAUCACACAUCACAGCCUCCACCCGACCCCCCACCGUGAAAAUAUCUGUUCAUCUCCAAUGUGUCCUCCACGCCGCGAGAUGCUCGGAUGGAGGCCGCCGACCAAACGGGCUUUUAUCAGGAGAACUUGGUUCUUGUGCAGGGACCCGGCUGUGAUGCAGGGUCUACGUUCUUCUUUCGUCUCUCAAACACGGAUCCUGCUCAUUGCACAGUGCCAAGCAGCCCGUCCAAAACAUUUACAGUUCUGGAGAGGAAGAGAGACAGCGACAGGAGAACCACCAAAGACCAUGGGAGACCAAACAAGUUAGAGGACAAGGGGAGGCAGCUGAGCGGGCUAAACAUUCAUGGGAGACUGAAAGAGAACGGA